RNAcentral lists this ribosomal RNA (497 nucleotides) under uncultured bacterium. RNAcentral describes it as "partial 16S ribosomal RNA". It matches the Rfam family "Bacterial small subunit ribosomal RNA", at positions 28 to 507 of the family's 1533-position model. The record is from RNAcentral.
GAUGAACGCUGGCGGCGUGCCUAAUACAUGCAAGUCGAGCGAACGGACGAGAAGCUUGCUUCUCUGAUGUUAGCGGCGGACGGGUGAGUAACACGUGUAUAACCUACCUAUAAGACUGGGAUAACUUCGGGAAACCGGAGCUAAUACCGGAUAAUAUUUUGAACCGCAUGGUUCAAUAGUGAAAGACGGUCUUGCUGUCACUUAUAGAUGGAUCCGCGCUGCAUUAGCUAGUUGGUAAGGUAACGGCUUACCAAGGCAACGAUGCAUAGCCGGCCUGAGAGGGUGAGCGGCCACACUGGAACUGAGACACGGUCCAGACUCCUACGGGAGGCAGCAGUAGGGAAUCGUCCGCAAUGGGCGAAAGCCUGACGGAGCAACGCCGCGUGAGUGAUGAAGGUCUUCGGAUCGUAAAACUCUGUUAUUAGGGAAGAACAUAUGUGUAAGUAACUGUGCACAUCUUGACGGUACCUAAUCAGAAAGCCACGGCUAACUACGUG